CAGCUAGUUUUUUCCCCCUUCUUCUCCAUUUGCUUUAAAAAAAUUUUUUUUUCUUUAAAAGUAUGAAGCUUUGAGACGCUGUGUCUCUUGGAUUACUCAGGAGAUAAGGCAUUUGUGCUUUGAGUAAUGACAGCAAUAACUGUUUACUGAAUAAUUUUUGUGUCAAGACUGACUGUAUACUUUGUGGAGCCCCAUGCAAAUGGGAAUGUGGCGCCCACUAUUCGACAAUUAUUGAGAAUUUCAAGACGGCAGAGCAUUACCCAAAGUACAGGUCCCUUCUCCGUGGAACUGUGCAGAUGGCAUGUCCAUGAAGCUGGCUCCGACUGGGUUAAUUCUUCACAUCUGUGGCCAUCUGAAGAAGAUCUUAUCUUCCCAGCAGCAAAAGCUUUCCUUCUUUUCCUGCUCCAAGAAAAGGCAAAGUGACUGGGUUGAUGGGACUCCACGGGACUAACAAUGGUUGGCCCCUGAACUGUUUUCUAAGGAUGGAAUCAGCGAAAACUGCCUGGCUUUUGUUUUGCUGGCCAGAUCAUGCAAGCUGUGAAUUGAAUUACUAGGGAAAGGAGAAAAAUAGUUGAGAGGCAGUGUUGGGAAUGUUAGGCUGAAGGAAAAACAAAGAGAACUAGAAGACGUCGGGGCCCAUAGUGGAACUUUGAGAAAUGAACAGAUGCGUUUAAAAGGUAGGUACUGAGAAAUUGAGCAAUUCACAAUAGAAUGGAUAUGGCAGCAGCUUCAAAAUUUACAAAAUAGUUGAUUAUGAUCACAUGCUACACCCUCGACUUGCUGAUGGGGCAGCGUGGAUUCAACCAGGAAUGUCCUCCUUCCUGAAUGGAUGAUGAUGGGGCAAACACAGCGUUCCAGUCACUAGACAUGUACCUCCUAUGCAGGUGGGCACACAAGACAGCUGACUAAGGGAAGAAAUGCAUGAGAAAUUUGCAAAGAGGGAAAGCCAAGAGCACCUGUAGUGUUCUGGAGGUAGCUGCACACUGACAUCCCUUCACACCCAGUGGCCUCUUGUGAAAGAGAAGGCAAUGCAAUGCCGUCGGAGACAAAGCCCAGCUGAAGAGAGGCAGUGCACUUGCUGAUGGAUACUAAAUGAAAAGCAGGCAGAAAUCAGCAAUGCAUCCAGCUUCUGUUGAGGGAGAUUCAGUGGAAUGAUUUUUAUAUUUUCAUGAAGAAAUUACAGUUGAAUAUUAAAACCUGGUAUUUCAGUUUAUCUGGUCUGACUCCCAUCUAACUAACCAACAUAGCCAUGGAUUUUGUAAAACUCACUUAGCAAAUCAUCUUAAUUGGUACCAAAAAAGUGAUGGCUAUGGAAAUAUUGGCAUUUCUAUGUGCAUAACUGAUGUUUUUAUGAGGAUAAGAGGGAGAGAAGAAUCACAUUUCAAAGAAGCUUCUACUGAAAUAAACUAACCAGAAGAACUAAUUGUGGCAUACUUAACAGCUUUGAGCUUUAUGUGUACACUACCUAUGUUUCCUGUUCAGCAAGUGAAUGUCCCCAGGCCGGUAGGGGCAAUGUGAAGAUGAAUCUUAUAUCUCCAAUUUCUCGAAGAACAUUUAUUCAUCUUCCUGGAAUUCACUCAUUGCCAGUUCUUUUAGAAAUACUGACACAGUUAAUAGUGUCUAAUGUCGUGGAUGACUGCCUUCCACCGAUGUCGUGACUUCCCACCCAAGAACCAAUGACUUCUUUCUCUGUGAUUCAGCUCUCCACUGACCCUCAUGGGCAAGAGUGGGGUUUCAGCAAUUAUUCUUUCAACCUCUAUUGAUUAAUCACACGAUAUAAGCCAGACACAGUUCUGGGCAGCAGGAUACAAUAGUGAACAAGACAACCCCAAAUCCCUGCUCUUGUGGAACUGACAUUUUCUCAUGGGGUGUGGGGGUUGGGGAAGAAUGAGAGAUGUUAAAUGCAAAACCAAAAUAAAAGAAAUUUUAAGAUCAUGUGAUAGGGAGUGGCUGGCUGGUCAGGGAUAGCCUCUCCAGGACUGGGACAUUCAUGGGAGUUGACAUGUGAAUUAUGAGAAGAAGCCGACAAUGCCAAGAUCACAUGGCAACACGUUUCAUGCAAAAGAAACAGCCAGCAUGAAGCCUGUGAGCUGGGAACAAGACCGGCUCAGGUCAAGGGACAGACAAAAAGGCCAACAAGGCUGAAAAAGAAUAAGGAAGAGGAGAGGGGUGUGAGGUUCAGCAGGAAAGAUCUGAAGGACUGGGUCAGACAGGGUUCUUCAGGACAUGGAAAAGAAUUUGAAUUUUUUAAAUAAAUGCAAUGAGAAGACACUGGAGAAUUUUAAUCAUGAGGGUAACAUAGUCUGUUUUGCAUUUGAAAACUAACAUUGUGACUGUUAGGCAGCAAAUGAAGUUGCCCUCCCCCAGUCCAUCCCUGGCCGUGGUUGAUCGAAACAUAAGUGACCAUCUUACCCGGUGUGUUUUUUGUCACUAUGGAAUUUGCAUUUAGGAACAAAGGGUCUGUGUUUAUUCAAGUGGUCUCUUCAUGGGGCCGAUACUGUAACAUACAUAGCUGGGGGUCUGAGGCAGCCACGUUGUGCCAAGGGCACUGAGGAGAAAAUGGCGGCCUGCUGGAUUCUUCUUUCUUCUGAGGCUCAGGUGACUGCUUGUCCUCAUAUCACUCCACCAGACUGUCAGGAGCUAAGCGGAGCUCGAGAGAGCUGAGCUGCCAGGUGUCAGGGUAGCUGAUUAAGACAACAAGCCAAGAUGAACAGUGAAGGCUUUAAUCAUUUACUGCAAUAGUAUGCACAAGAGACUAAACCAGAGAAAGUGCCGACUCCCCAUCAUUCCAUUUUCCCCAGCGCACCAGCCCUCAUUGAGGGUCUGGAUCAGCACUGAAGCCAAGGGAUUGUCUCACAGCUGAGGGACCCCUGAACAAGAGACUCCCGCCAUCAAAUGGAUCUGGAGCUGGCGGGGGGUGGGGAGAAGGAAGGGCUAUGAGUGUGAAAGUACUGAGCACUGAGUCAGAGUGGAGAAAAACAUCUCCAAGCCUCCCCGCUUCUUCUCCUUGAUAAGGUGACCCCUGCAGAGGUGUCUAAGAUAAGCCUCUGCAGAAAGCCUGUGAUAAAGAGGCCUCCAAAGAGAGGCACCUGGGCCAGGAAUGUGGAUGUGCAUAAGAGCAAGGCUGGCUGGGGGGACUCAGUGCUUGACUGCAACUCCCCUCAGAGACUCAAUGUGUCGGCUGUGCCCCAAGUCUGCAGUGGGGAGGGCAGUUUCUCCCCACGAGGUCUGACAGGUAAAGCCUGGUAUUAAUAAUUGCUUAUGGCCAGAUGUGAAAGUUCACACAUAGGUUUAGGGCUACGAACUGGUACUCCAAACAGACUAUGCUAGGUGCUUACUAUAAACCCAUCUACAGUAGAGCUUGAGUAACUUCUGCUGCUUGAAACUGGCACUCUAACUAAUGAAAUUUAAAAUGAACCCCAAAAUGAGUUAGAGUCAAAUAAUGACAGGAUGUGGGAAAUGAUCACAACAUAGGUAUAGACUCCAGAAAAAUGGGCACCACUACCCAUAAGAAGACGCCCAGAGAUAUCUUGCAGACUAUUUAAAUUGAGAGCAAGAGUUUGAGCCUGUACAGUAUUUCUGGCAAUCCAAAGAGGCAAACCCAGGGGCAGGAGCUAGAGAACUUGAAAUAUAACCAGAGUGGCCUAUCUCUGAGCUUACCUGUUGGCUUACUCUUUGCCAGAAAUUUCUGUUGUGCAACAAGAAUGAUAACAGUUGGGAAGAGAAGAAAGGUGCAAGAGAAGCCCUUGACUAUCUCACCAAACCCAUCCCCUCCCUCUGCUUCCUCCUUCACUCUGCUUUGGCCCCACUGGUCUGCUCCCUGUUGCCCGACAAGUUCACACCCCAGGUCCCUUGUAUAUGCUGUUCCCUUUGCCUGAAUUGCUCUUCCCUUCAGCCCUUGCUAGACUCCUUCAUUCAAGCCUCGGCUGAAACGUCACCAUUUUCAAGAGUGACCUGGCCAUUCCAUCCCAAAUGGCAGUUCUAUCACUUUUUAUCCCCUAACAGUGGUUUCUAUUUUUCUUUAUAAUACUUAUCACAACCUGAUAUUAUGAUUGAUUGCUUUGUUAGUUCUUGUGUCUUCCUGUGCCCACACUAGAAUGUAAGCUCCACGAAGUUGAGAGCUGUUUAGUUCAUAAAUCACUGCAUCCUCAGAGCCUAGAAUAGCACCCAGGAGUUAUUAGUUACUCCAUAAAUAUUAAUUAUAUGAAUGGAUGAAGGAAGAAAUGAAAGAAGGAAGAAAGAAGGAAGAAGGGAAGGCAAGGGAGGGGAAGGGAGGGGAGGAGAGGGAAGGCAAGGGAAGGGAAGGGGACAGGAGGGGAGGGGAGGGGAAGGGGAGGAGAGGGAAGGGAAGGGAAGGGGGAGGAAGGAAGGAAGGAAAGAAGGAAGGAAGGGAGAAAGAAAAAGAUGAGAAAGGGGAAAUAAAAUAUCUUAGAUUCUAAUUAGAGGAGCAAAAAUGAAUUAUAAAAGCCAAACAUGUAAAAUAGAAAAAUCUCUGAGUGUUUUACAUUUAAAGUUAAUCUUAGUUUGUUUUAUUCAUUCGUUUAUUCCUCUAAUAAAUAUUGUCUGAACAUCACAUUCUAGGGUUAUCAGAGAAGGCUGGAUCUUAAAGGUGAAGACCAUAAAGAAAGGACAGUGAGAUCAAAAAGAAAAGAUCUGUGUAGAAACAGUAAAAAAAAAAAACCUCACACAUCAGUGUGUCUGAGCAAAGCCAGGUUGAGAAAUAUUCUUGCUUAACUAUCAAACCUAACAAUAUAUUUUUCAGAUGUGAGAGAUGGAGUAAGAGAAAACCAUACCACAAUGGCUGCUGCCAGGCAGGAGUACGUCUUGGGCUGCUACUGUGGCUUCAUCACGUCCCCAUCCUGUGCUUAGAGGAGACCUCAUGGUUACAAGAAUCCCAUGAAGUAUGUUCUGUUAUUGUCCUGAUUUUGCAGACAAAUAAAGUGAGGCUUAGAGAAAGCAAGUAGUGCACUCAAGGACCAGUGAGGAGAAGAAAUCACAAGAUGGAUAAAAGAUGGAUUGUGAAGGGAUCUUAAAGACCAUUCAGCCUGGGCCUGGUGGCUCACACCUGUAAUCCCAGUACUCUGGGAGGCUGAUGCUGGCAGAUCACUUGAGCCCAGGAAUUUGAGACCAGCCAGGGCAAUGUAGUGAAAUCCUGUUUCUACAAAAAUUAGCCAGGCAUGGUGAUACGACAGUCUCAGCUACUUGGGAGACUGAGGUGGGAGGAUUGAUUGAGCCAGGGAUGUCGAGGCUGCGGUGAGCAGUGAUUGCAGCACUGCACUCCAGCCUCGGUGACAGAACAAGACCCUGUCUCAAAAACAAAAACAAACACCAAAAAAUCAUUCAUUUGUUACACCCUGUACUUUACAAAUAAGUCAGCUGAAGCCCCCGUGAGGCUAAGUGACUUAGCCAAGGUUAUGUGGCUAGCAAGCAGAAAACACAGCCAUGAGCAAGCAUUAGAGGCAAAAGAUAGAUUUUUGCAUCCACAAACAACUCAACAACAAAGGACACAGAUAGAAGAAAGGGAAAGUCAGUCAAGUAUUGAGGUUGGAGAGACUGAUUCUAGAUAAGUAAAUCAUAUAAGGCCUGUGUUUGAUGGCCUAGACUUUAUCCUUUACUGAGCUGUUUCCCAGACCAUAUUCUGCAAACACUAGUUCCCUAGGAAUUUACUAAGUAUUCCAUGAAAGUAUUCAGUAGUCAUGGAAGUUUGGAAAAUGCAGGGAAUCCCAGGCUGUGAAGUAUGCUAUGGACAUUGUAACUCUCCAAGAGGGAGGUAGAAUACACAGCAGUUCUUGAAAUUUAUUUGACCAGCGAAUCCAUGUCCCCGCAUAGCUUAUGUGAAAGUAGCAUUCCUGAGACCACCUGCUUAUAAAAAGCUGCUGUGCGGGACAGUUUCAAAUGGAGAUUAAAAUGGGCAAUGAGAAAUGAUGAGAGUCACUUCAAAAAAAUACAAUUUAGCAUAAAAAUCUGAUUGUGUCAGCAUUUCCCUCUUUUUUUUUUCUUUUUAUUGCUGUACUGUUUCACACUUACUAUUUGCAGUAGGUGUCUGGCGAGAGGUUGUGUGAAGUGAUGGGGAAAAAGCAGAAAGGACUUACACAGUUUCAGAAAUUCCUGGAAGGCUCCUUUGGAGUCUAAUGUUUCUUUGUGUGUUUGCUUGCUUGUUUUCCCCACAUAAAGAGAUACCACAUAUGGAUUUGAACUCCAUUCUGCAAUCCACCCACCUAGACCUAGACCCGCAUUCUACAUGAAUUGCAAGACUGAUCCUGUUGCUAUGCAGGAUCCUGGUGUGUGGGAGGAUGUAAGGAGCCCAUGUGUGGACCCACAGUGAAAGGAAGCAUGUACAUUUUAUUUUAUUUAUGUAUUUUUUUAUUUUUAUUUUUAUUUAUUUUUUUUUGAGACAGAGUCUCGCUCUGUCCCCAGGCUGGAAUGCAGCGUUGUGGUCUCAGCUCACUGCAAGCUCUGCCUCCCGGGUUCACACCAUUCUCCUGCCUCAGCCUCCUGAAUAGCUGGGACUACAGGCAUCCGCUACCACGCCCGGCUAAUUUUUUGUAUUUUUAGUAGAGACGGGGUUUCACCGUGUUAGCCAGGAUGGUCUCGAUCUCCUGACCUCAUGAUCCGCCCGCCUCGGCCUCCCAAAGUGCUAGGAUUACAGGCGUGAGCCACCUCGCCCAGCCUUUAAUAGUAAUUUCUUGAUAGACUUGUGGUGAAAUUAAAUGAGAUACUUCAAGGAAAGUUCUGAGUGAGCAUUCAGUAAAUGUUAACUAUUAUUCUUAGCAUUUUAAUCAUCAUUUUGAUACUUACUAAAAGAAUUGAGAGAGACCAGGAGAGUUUCAAGAGGCAGUAGCUAAGGCUAACUGCCAUUUUUGCCAAAAUCUGACUAUCAUCCUAACACUCAAACGUCAAAGGCAAUUUAAAAAUGAAACUUGAGAAAGAGGCCAGGUGUGGUGGCUCACACCUGUAAUCCCAGCAGUUUGGGAGACCAAUGCAGGAGGAUCACUUGAGCCCAAGAGUUCAAGACCAGCCUGGGCAACAUGGCAAAACCCCAUCUUUACAAAAAAUACAAAAAUUAGCCAGAUAUGGUGGCACAUGCCUGUAGUCCCAGCUUGAUUGGGAGGCUGAGGCAGCGGAAGGAUCAACUGAGCCCAGGAUAUUGAGGCUGCAGUGAGCUGUGAUCACACCACUGCACUCCAGUCUGGGCAACAGAGAGAGAAAAAAAGAGAGAAAGAGAAAGAAAUUAUUUCAAAACAAUUUCUGUAAAAUAUGGAUAUGAAUGAAUAUGGGAAGACUUACUUAAAGAAUACUGUUGAUACUUUUUGCAAUUUAUUUUUAAACUAGCAUGAAGUACCUAGCUAAGCAAAAAAGGACUCUCAAAGUCAGAUAUUUGAAUAGCGCCUGUGGCAAAGCGGCAAUACACAUGAUAUACAGUUGCUUUGUAGUCAUGGGCUCUUUAAUUCAGCAGACUGAUGUGUUGCUCACAUAAUGGAUGUGCGGAGUAGAAUGAGUGCCAGACAGGAUUAUAUCCCCCCCUCAAAGCAAUGCAUUUGAAGUGCAGAUGAAUACAAACCAUUUAGGAAAUAAUUGGUCUGACCCAGUAGCAGAAGUGGCCAUUUUGGCAGCAGGGAGAAAGGUGUUACUCAGGUGACAGGAGGCAAUGAGGCUAAGAUGUAGAAUGCAAGAUUUCUCGGGUUUUAAACCUGUCAGCAUAAGAAAUAAAGGAAAAUUGCAAACACAGUUCCAACCUUUCUGAUGCCAGUCUUUCAGACUUUGUUAAAAAAAAAAGGAUUAAAAAAAAUCUCUCUCUCUCUCUUUUUCUCUUUUAUUACUUCUAUAUCAGGCGUUAGCAAAAUUUGGCCCAUGGGGCCAAACCAGCCCACUACCUGAUUUUAUAAGUAAAGUCUGUUUUUAAAUAUAGCUAUGCUCAUUCAUUUACACAUUGUUCAUGGCUGCUUUUGUGCUACCGUGGCAGAGUUGAGUAGUUGUACAGAGACCUUAUGAGCCACAAAGCUUAAAAUAUUUUUUAUCUGGUCCUUCACAGAAAAUAUUUGUUGACUCUUGAUCUACAGCUGUAGUUCAAUCAAGGCCACUCCCAUCUCUUUGCUUAAAAUCCUUAAAUGACAUGCUGUUGUUCCCCUAAGUUUGAAUUUUAAAUGUGGUUUAAAAGAUCUACAAGCUGGCCUCUCUCUACCAUGCUGACUUCACCUCUCCACUAUCUGCUCCACACCUUUACUCCAGAUACACAAAAGGACAUUUAGUUCCUCCGAGGAUUCACACUCAGUCUUGUCCCUAGGUCUUUGCAUGUACUGCUCCCUCUACCUAGAACAUGCUUCCCCAGCUUUCCUUCCUCUCUUUACCAAGAUUGUUUUGCAUUUUUCUCAUUGCCAUUAAGCUCUUAAAUUGCUCUAUGCGCUCUGUUUCUUCAGGUGUAAGUUCUACUUCUCUUUGUUUUAGGGUUUUCACAUUCCUCAAAUGAUGAUUAGUGAUUGUUCUCCAUUUUUGUACUUGAGAUUAUCCAUUUGCUUGUGCUACCUAUUGAAGUAGGACCUGGAGUUGUGGCUUUAAUUUUGAUGAGAGCUGGGGAGCAGAGGCAAUUCUGUACCUGCUCUGCUGAGUACUCCCCACCACUCUGAGUGAAACUCUGUGUCCUCUGCUCUAACCUGCAGGCAGAUGCUUUCCAGCUAUUGCCUGGUCUAAGAGGGAGAGUUGCAGGGGUCAGUCAUCUUGACCUGGUCCUCCAAUGAAUUACCUUGUCAUUUCACCAUCGAUUCUCUCUUUUUCUUUUUCCACCUCUGAGCAUGAAACACCCUUGAUGGAAAUCCAGUUGUAAGAACAAACUAUUUCUUACCUUCAUGUGAGAUGUAGGUAAUAUUUCAUGUUCCUGUCUUUAAAAAAUCAUAUUUUCUACCUUUCUGAGGACUUAAUGCAGAAGAAUUUAGCCUGUAGCAUGCACUCCACCUGUCAACUUGAAAGAGAAGAUAUUGCUGAUUAUGUCUUUUAUGCAAAACUGUAACCUCCACA
RNAcentral lists this long non-coding RNA (9012 nucleotides) under Homo sapiens (human). Its description in RNAcentral is "HSALNT0268968". The record is from RNAcentral. Lineage: Eukaryota; Metazoa; Chordata; Mammalia; Primates; Hominidae.